AGAGUUUGAUCAUGGCUCAGGACGAACGCUGGCGGCACGCUUAACACAUGCAAGUCGAACGAGAGAAGUGGAGCUUGCUUUUCUGAUCUAGUGGCGGACGGGUGAGUAACACGUGAGCAAUCUGCCUUUCAGAGGGGGAUACCGAUUGGAAACGAUCGUUAAUACCGCAUAACAUAAUUGAACCGCAUGAUUUGAUUAUCAAAGAUUUAUCGCUGAAAGAUGAGCUCGCGUCUGAUUAGCUAGUUGGUAAGGUAACGGCUUACCAAGGCGACGAUCAGUAGCCGGACUGAGAGGUUGAUCGGCCACAUUGGGACUGAGACACGGCCCAGACUCCUACGGGAGGCAGCAGUGGGGAAUAUUGCACAAUGGAGGAAACUCUGAUGCAGCGAUGCCGCGUGAGGGAAGAAGGUUUUAGGAUUGUAAACCUCUGUCUUCAGGGACGAAAAAAGACGGUACCUGAGGAGGAAGCUCCGGCUAACUACGUGCCAGCAGCCGCGGUAAUACGUAGGGAGCGAGCGUUGUCCGGAAUUACUGGGUGCAAAGGGAGCGUAGGCGGGAUCGCAAGUCAGAUGUGAAAACUAUGGGCCUAACCCAUAAACUGCAUUUGAAACUGUGGUUCUUGAGUGAAGUAGAGGUAAGCGGAAUUCCUAGUGUAGCGGUGAAAUGCGUAGAUAUUAGGAGGAACAUCAGUGGCGAAGGCGGCUUACUGGGCUUUAACUGACGCUGGGGCUCGAAAGCGUGGGGAGCAAGCAGGAUUAGAUACCCUGGUAGUCCACGCCGUAAACGAUGAUUACUAGGUGUGGGGGGACUGACCCCUUCCGUGCCGCAGCAAACGCAAUAAGUAAUCCACCUGGGGAGUACGACCGCAAGGUUGAAACUCAAAGGAAUUGACGGGGGCCCGCACAAGCAGUGGAGUAUGUGGAUUAAUUCGAAGCAACGCGAAGAACCUUACCAGGUCUUGACAUCGUAUGCAUAGCUCAGAGAUGAGUGAAAUCUCUUCGGAGACAUAUAGACAGGUGGUGCAUGGUUGUCGUCAGCUCGUGUCGUGAGAUGUUGGGUUAAGUCCCGCAACGAGCGCAACCCUUACUGUUAGUUGCUACGCAAGAGCACUCUAGCAGGACUGCCGUUGACAAAACGGAGGAAGGUGGGGAUGACGUCAAAUCAUCAUGCCCCUUAUGACCUGGGCCUCACACGUACUACAAUGGCUGUCAACAGAGGGAAGCAAAGCUGCGAGGUGGAGCGAACCCCUAAAAGCAGUCUUAGUUCGGAUUGUAGGCUGCAACCCGCCUACAUGAAGUCGGAAUUGCUAGUAAUCGCAGAUCAGCAUGCUGCGGUGAAUACGUCCCCGGGCCUUGUACACACCGCCCGUCACGCCAUGGGAGUCGGUAACACCCGAAGCCUGUAGUCUAACCGCAAGGAGGACGCAGUCGAAGGUGGGAUUGAUGACUGGGGUGAAGUCGUAACAAGGUA
RNAcentral lists this ribosomal RNA (1470 nucleotides) under metagenome. RNAcentral describes it as "bacterial SSU rRNA". It matches the Rfam family "Bacterial small subunit ribosomal RNA". The record is from RNAcentral.